CAGAAUUUUUUCUCAAAAGAAAAUAUAAAAAGGGGCUGGGGAUAUAGUUGAAUGGUAGAGUGCCCCUGGACUGGAGUGUUCUUACUUAGAACUAGGAUAGGUGGGAGGAACCCAGUUGAGCAACAUUAGAGACAGCAUUCUGCCCAACCAGAAGAGUCAGAUGAACAUCCCAGCAAUCUCUUUCCAGGUGGACACUGUCCUCCUUGGGGAGCUAGAUGGAGUUGGGGUCAAGGAACUAUCAACACCGUCCUGCUCAUCCUGCCCAUGAUGAUGGAAAAGGAAAGUCCAAGAAGAAGUUGGGUCUGAGCUGGAGUCUGCAAAAGGCUGGAUCAGGCAGGAGAAAGCUCUAUAGAAGUUACUGAAGUUGAGAACUGAAGAAGUGGUAUAAUGCUCCCUUCCACCGCCCACCACAGGUCAUGUGAGAGGAGCCCCGAGGUGGCAGCACUAGGAGGGGAUUCUGCUUCGGAGCUUCAUGCCAACCUAUCAUCAUGAACUCUCAAGCCAAGGUAGAUCCAGCACCUGGAAGUGACCUGGUUUUUGCAUGAAUGUUUAGAAGUUAUAUGUGUGAUAGGCUCCUCUCCCUCAGAAAACAGCAGUGCACUGGAAAAUCAGCAUGCAUCCAAGGCAAUGUGUAGUUAUGUUUUUAGAGUAAAUUGUCCAAUGUCCACUUUGAUCCAGUCAACAGUUGCUUCUAGAUGAAGGCAGGGCACAUGCAUAGUCCCAGCUGACUCCCUUCUGUUGAACUAGGAUAUUUCUCAGUGGCACAGGCAAGGUACUAUAGACAGGAACUGCAUAUGAAGCAGCAUCUCCUUUAAAAUACGCAGUUGUCAUCUUUUAUCCAUUGGGGAAGACAUUCCAGGACCCAAUGGACCUCUGAAGGGUAACAAAUGCCAUAUAUAUUUGUGUUUUGUAUACUAUACAUAUAUACCUGUUAUGAAAUUUAUUAGUUAAGCACAAUAAAAAAUAAUAAAACAAUUUUAACAACAUACUGUAAUAAAAGAUACUUAAAACUUA
Non-coding RNA from Ictidomys tridecemlineatus (thirteen-lined ground squirrel), 1014 nucleotides. Lineage: Eukaryota; Metazoa; Chordata; Mammalia; Rodentia; Sciuridae. The record is from RefSeq and is a predicted model, not a curated record.